This 583-nucleotide ribosomal RNA is filed under the name Gobius niger (black goby). Its description in RNAcentral is "partial 16S ribosomal RNA". It matches the Rfam family "Bacterial large subunit ribosomal RNA", at positions 1845 to 2596 of the family's 2925-position model. The record is from RNAcentral. Lineage: Eukaryota; Metazoa; Chordata; Actinopteri; Gobiiformes; Gobiidae.
AUAGGAGGUCCCGCCUGCCCUGGUGACGAAAGUUUAACGGCCGCGGUAUUUUGACCGUGCGAAGGUAGCGUAAUCACUUGUCUUUUAAAUGGAGACCUGUAUGAAUGGCAUAACGAGGGCUAAGCUGUCUCCCUUAUCUGGUCAAUGAAAUUGAUCUGCCCGUGCAGAAGCGGGCAUACCACCAUAAGACGAGAAGACCCUAUGGAGCUUUAGACACUAGGACAGCCCGCGUAACAGCCCUCUGCACCCCCAGAAUGAACCCACACGGCCCCCUGUCCCCAUGUCUUCGGUUGGGGCGACCGCGGAGGAGAACAGACCCCCCCGCAUGGAACGGAGAACAGACCCCCCCGCAUGGAACGAGUUUKAACCCGAGAUGAGGCCUACAGGCCCAAUCGACAGAACUUCUGGCCACCAAGACCCGGCUAUUUAGCGCCGAUCAAUGGACCCAGUUACCCUAGGGAUAACAGCGCAAUCUCCUUUUAGAGCCCAAAUCGACAAGGGGGUUUACGACCUCGAUGUUGGAUCAGGACUUCCUAAUGGUGCAGCCGCUAUUAAGGGUUCGUUUGUUCAACGAUUAAAGUCC